AACUAAUUUCAUCUUCAUAAUAUCUCCAUCCACUAAAAAUUUGAGCCAACCUAUUAAAGUAGGAAUCUUUCAACAUAAUUUGAGCCACCAACAUUCACAGAGUUUGCAAUCUAAUAAAGAUUGAACGCAUUGUGAGAUAUGAGAUCUUGGACUGCACAUUGGUUGAAACAUAUCAAUCUCUCCAAGUUCAAAACUUCAUACUUAUCCCUAAUUUAAGUUGUUGAGAACUUUUUUUUACUUAGUAUCAUAAGCAAAGAUUGAAGCAAUUAAGUAAUGUAUAUUAAAGCAUUCAAAAUUACAACAAAGCAUGUCAUAUCUCUGUUUCCAAAGCCAGCCAUCUAAAGCAAGAAAGAUAAGAGUCCGACUUUUUUUCUUUCUUUCCUGGAUUGGGUUUUAUAACAGUCAUUUAAUUAUGUGAGAUAGGAUGCCAUAUGGGAAAUGAAGGGUUAGACGAAGAUGGUAUUGAGAUAGGAUAGACAAAACACAGAGGAGAUGAAUAGAAAAGAAAAUUAGAAGAGUGGUGUAUUUGAUCAAUGAGAAAAUAUGCGUGGAUUAGUGAAGGAGUUAUGCAAAAAUACAGGGUUGGAUACUCAAGACUUCCUAAAAAGUAGCAAUGAUGAUGUAGUCAUCCCUAUAAAAUAGUAAUAACCAUAAAUACCUAUCCCCCCUCCCCUACAAAGUAGCAAUUAUGAUUCACCAACAUGGGUUCCAAAUUUAUCUGCAUACGUAAAAAAGGAAUAAAAAGUUGCUUAUAAAAAAAAUAAAAAUAAAAAGGAGUUUAGUUGCUUAAUUAGUGUGUUUCUAAUUGGACAUUGCUAUCUACUUAAUACUGUUUCACAUUUGUUUAAACACCAACUAAUAAGAUCAAAACUCUAUUUAAACACCAACUAACCAACAUAAUAUUAUGUAACCAAUACGUGUGAUUGGGUAGAGAAUCUUAAAAAUAGUUUCUAACCUCGGUAGAUUCAAUGAGAUCCUCAAUAGUCAUCUUUGGGGUCUACAGCAAAUCAUCGACGACACUAUGCAUCACUGGUCCGAUCAUUUGAUUAACCACUUGACUCAACUACACAUUAGCAACAUUCAUCAUUUAUUUAAGAAAAUAGACAAUGAAGCACCAAAGAGUAGCUAAAGGAAAUUCAAGCAACCAGCAUAGAAGAAUCACCUUUCUAAGUUUCUAUAUAAUUAGAUACCUCAGGAAUCUGAGCAUUCAACAACAAUUCUGAUCCAUAAAAAGAAUUUGAAAUUUACAUAGCACAUACUCAAAUGGAAACAAAAAAAUAAACCACCAGAGCUAUAUUUCAAACAAUAGGUGAAAAGGAAGUAUUUUCCUACUAAGGUACUUCUUAAGCUUGCAUAGUUGUAUUAUGAUUACC
RNAcentral lists this long non-coding RNA (1373 nucleotides) under Trifolium pratense (red clover). RNAcentral's name for it is "long non-coding RNA (TPRA_LNC006139)". Lineage: Eukaryota; Viridiplantae; Streptophyta; Magnoliopsida; Fabales; Fabaceae. The record is from RNAcentral.